GCUCUAUAGGAGGGAGAGGAAAGCAACCAUGGCUGCCUGACUGCAGCGGCCAUGAGGAGACCGACAGUGCUUCUCUGUUAAGGACUGUGCAGUGUCAGCAUAUUGAGAGCCAUUCAGCUAGCAGGCUAUGGUCAAAGAAAGAGAUGUGGUAACAGAAGCAGCGUUAGAGAGUUGCUACAUCACUGGCUCUGAAGGUGGAAGAAAGAGGCCACAAGCCGAAGCAUGUGGAUGACCUCUCCAAGCUGAAAAGAUGAGGAACCUCUGCUGUCUUCUAAAUGGUGGUAUUUCUAAGAAAUGUCUGAGAUCAUGACAGACUUGCCAAGACAAGAACCCCACCAUUUUGGAGCUUUUUUUUAAAGAACCAAACCUGAGAGAAUUCUCGGAGGAGCUUCAAGAUGGUGGAGGAGUAGGAUGUGGCGAUCACCUUCCUCCCCACAAAUACAUCAGAAAUACAUCUACAUGUGGAACACUCCUACAGAACACCUACUGAACGCUGGCAGAAGACCUCAGACCUCCCAAAAGUAUUUGGACUGUUGUUCUGCAUACAGAGCAGAAAAGUACAUCAAGCUGCUUUUCAGUUUCUAUGGAAAGGUGCCUCCACCCUCUCUUUCAACUUGAGAUCCGGACACGUCUGUCUUCAGAGGCAAGU
This is a long non-coding RNA of Lagenorhynchus albirostris (white-beaked dolphin), 649 nucleotides long. RefSeq lists it as uncharacterized. The record is from RefSeq and is a predicted model, not a curated record. Lineage: Eukaryota; Metazoa; Chordata; Mammalia; Artiodactyla; Delphinidae. The transcript has 5 exons.